RNAcentral lists this non-coding RNA (213 nucleotides) under Paracoccus halophilus. The record is from RNAcentral. Lineage: Bacteria; Pseudomonadati; Pseudomonadota; Alphaproteobacteria; Rhodobacterales; Paracoccaceae.
GCACAGAUCUGCUGCGCUGGUUCCUGUCCUAUGACAGGCCAAGAGGGAAUGCGAAAGGUUUGCGCCGCAAGGCCGGACCCGAAUGCAGCCGCCCCCGCGACCGUGACCGGAGAGGUCGCCCGAUACCACUGGCAACAGCCGGGAAGGUGGGCCGGCCGUUGGCGAAAGCCUGAAUCCGCAAGCCGGGAGACCUGCCAGCAGCGAAUAUUGACC